Vicia faba (fava bean) is the source of this 249-nucleotide non-coding RNA. The record is from the annotation of a GenBank genome assembly. Lineage: Eukaryota; Viridiplantae; Streptophyta; Magnoliopsida; Fabales; Fabaceae.
AUGAAGAUGAUGACAGAGAAGGAAAAUGGUAGAGAAUGGGUGGGUUCAGAGGGAAGAUUGUCGAAGGAGAAUGGAGGGAGAGAGAGAAUGAAGAUGGGAUCUGAGUGUUAUGAACGAAUGGUGUCUGUGAAUGAAUGCAUGUUGAUGUGGGAUUUUCGUGAUGCAAGUACAACUUUGAACAUGGUUCAACACGGAAUGAAGGUCAAAAUCGUGAGGGCAUACUUGAUGUAUAUGGACAUGUAUGUAUGA